UUAAGAGCUUGCUCUUAUGAAGUUAGCGGCGGACGGGUGAGUAACACGUGGGUAACCUGCCCAUAAGACUGGGAUAACUCCGGGAAACCGGGGCUAAUACCGGAUAACAUUUUGAACCGCAUGGUUCGAAAUUGAAAGGCGGCUUCGGCUGUCACUUAUGGAUGGACCCGCGUCGCAUUAGCUAGUUGGUGAGGUAACGGCUCACCAAGGCAACGAUGCGUAGCCGACCUGAGAGGGUGAUCGGCCACACUGGGACUGAGACACGGCCCAGACUCCUACGGGAGGCAGCAGUAGGGAAUCUUCCGCAAUGGACGAAAGUCUGACGGAGCAACGCCGCGUGAGUGAUGAAGGCUUUCGGGUCGUAAAACUCUGUUGUUAGGGAAGAACAAGUGCUAGUUGAAUAAGCUGGCACCUUGACGGUACCUAACCAGAAAGCCACGGCUAACUACGUGCCAGCAGCCGCGGUAAUACGUAGGUGGCAAGCGUUAUCCGGAAUUAUUGGGCGUAAAGCGCGCGCAGGUGGUUUCUUAAGUCUGAUGUGAAAGCCCACGGCUCAACCGUGGAGGGUCAUUGGAAACUGGGAGACUUGAGUGCAGAAGAGGAAAGUGGAAUUCCAUGUGUAGCGGUGAAAUGCGUAGAGAUAUGGAGGAACACCAGUGGCGAAGGCGACUUUCUGGUCUGUAACUGACACUGAGGCGCGAAAGCGUG
RNAcentral lists this ribosomal RNA (708 nucleotides) under Bacillus cereus. Its description in RNAcentral is "bacterial SSU rRNA". It matches the Rfam family "Bacterial small subunit ribosomal RNA", at positions 72 to 763 of the family's 1533-position model. The record is from RNAcentral. Lineage: Bacteria; Bacillati; Bacillota; Bacilli; Caryophanales; Bacillaceae.